Long non-coding RNA from Brassica rapa (field mustard), 1042 nucleotides. RefSeq lists it as uncharacterized. The record is from RefSeq and is a predicted model, not a curated record. NCBI's taxonomy places the organism in Eukaryota, Viridiplantae, Streptophyta, Magnoliopsida, Brassicales, Brassicaceae.
UAUCAUAACACAGUUUGAGUUCCAGAAUGAACAUAUUUUAAAAAAUAUAUUAGAUUUUGACCCGCGCUUUCAAAGCACGGGUUUGUUUUCUUUGACAUAUUUAUUAUUAUAACAAAUGUAUAUCAAAUGUCUUAGUGAUUUUUGUUAGCAUUUAUUUUUAUGUUUUACAUUAAUUUUUCAUCUAUACCAAAUGUUAGUAUUGUGAAAUAAUUAUUUUUUUUAUUGAAAUAUACAGUAAGAUAUUAACUUUAAAAUUAUUUUUAGUAAAAUUAAUGUGUACAUUGACUUAUAAAAUUAUUAAAAUAUUUAAAUGAAUUGUAAUAUUAUUUAAAUUAUGACCGGGUGUAUUGAUAUCAUCUAUUACAUUCCUAUCUAAUUUAUGUUUAAGUUUAUUAAUUGUAUAUGUGAAAUUUUUAGUUAUAAAUGUGAAAUUUUUAUAUAACUUCAAAAACAAUGUUUAAUAUAUAAUGUAAAGCCCAUAUAAUAUAAACUUGUUUGAUAGAAAAUUAAGAUAUAAACCAUUGCAAACACAUAAUGGUUUAUCAUCACCCAAUAAGUUUGUAGCCCAACACUAAUCACAUAUAUCCAUACUUUUUUUGACCGUUCAUAUUUCAAAAAACACAGAAAAAUUAAGAAGAAAAAGACAUCUAGAACGGUCUGUUUACCGACAGAGGAUAAGAUGAAAAAAACAUUUUUUUUUAUGGUGAGAAUCAAAGCUGAACGACUCCGAUGGUGAGAAUUUGGCGUUUCUCGAUGGUGAGAAUCAAAGCUGUACGACUCCGAUGGUUCGCUUAAUCGUUUUUCGAUCGGUCCAAAUCAAAGCUGUAAUCAUAAUCUCGAUUUGUUAAGAUGAAGAGAUCUUAAAUCGCAUGAGAAGAUUCUGUUAUAUUUAUAAAAGAGAACCGAUGAACACCAUCGUUUUUCACCAUUGAGACUUGUCGAACAGAUAACCUGGAUAAUAAGGUUUUUCAGUGGCAUCGUUAUGGCCAUUAUUCACUUGAAAGACAUUGACAGAGACAUCAGGAAGGCAUUGGUAUUUUCC